GUAGGUGGCAAGCGUUGUCCGGAAUUAUUGGGCGUAAAGCGCGCGCAGGCGGUCCUUUAAGUCUGAUGUGAAAGCCCACGGCUCAACCGUGGAGGGUCAUUGGAAACUGGGGGACUUGAGUACAGAAGAGGAAAGCGGAAUUCCAAGUGUAGCGGUGAAAUGCGUAGAGAUUUGGAGGAACACCAGUGGCGAAGGCGGCUUUCUGGUCUGUAACUGACGCUGAGGCGCGAAAGCGUGGGGAGCAAACAGGAUUAGAUACCCUGGUAGUCCACGCCGUAAACGAUGAGUGCUAGUGUUAGGGGGUUUCCCGCCCCCUUAGUGCUGCAGCUAACGCAUUAAGCACUCCGCCUGGGGAGUACGGCCGCAAGGCUG
Molecule: ribosomal RNA, 372 nt
Filed under: uncultured organism
Description: partial 16S ribosomal RNA
Rfam family: Bacterial small subunit ribosomal RNA
Source: RNAcentral